AGUGAACGCUGGCGGUAGGCCUAACACAUGCAAGUCGAACGGCAGCACAGUAAGAGCUUGCUCUUACGGGUGGCGAGUGGCGGACGGGUGAGGAAUACAUCGGAAUCUACUUUUUCGUGGGGGAUAACGUAGGGAAACUUACGCUAAUACCGCAUACGACCUACGGGUGAAAGCAGGGGAUCUUCGGACCUUGCGCGAUUGAAUGAGCCGAUGUCGGAUUAGCUAGUUGGCGGGGUAAAGGCCCACCAAGGCGACGAUCCGUAGCUGGUCUGAGAGGAUGAUCAGCCACACGGAAACUGAGAAACGGUCCAGACUCCUACGGGAGGCAGAAGUGGGGAAUUUUGGACAAUGGGGGCAAGCCUGAUCCAGCCAUACCGGGUGGGUGAAGAAGGCCUUCGGGUUGUAAAGCCCUUUUGUUGGGAAAAAAAAGAAGCAGGUUAAUACCCCGCUGUUCUGACGGUACCCAAAAAAUAAGCACCGGCUAACUUCGU
Molecule: ribosomal RNA, 491 nt
Filed under: uncultured bacterium
Lineage: Bacteria
Description: partial 16S ribosomal RNA
Rfam family: Bacterial small subunit ribosomal RNA
Source: RNAcentral